GCUACGGCCGUGGCGGCGGCGUAGUGAAGACGGAGGCAGCUAUCGUUGUUCGGAUGUACGGGGCGUAAAGCGCGCUGAGGCGGCUCAUCAAGUCAGGGGUGAAAUCCCGGGGCUCAACCCCGGAACUGCCCUUGAAACUGGUAGGCUAGAAUCCUGGAGAGGCGAGUGGAAUUCCGAGUGUAGAGGUGAAAUUCGUAGAUAGUCGGAAGAACACCAGUGGCGAAGGCGACUCGCUGGACAGGUAUUGACGCUGAGGUGCGAAAGCGUGGGGAGCAAACAGGAUUAGAUACCCGAGUAGUC
RNAcentral lists this ribosomal RNA (300 nucleotides) under uncultured Bacillus sp. RNAcentral's name for it is "bacterial SSU rRNA". It matches the Rfam family "Bacterial small subunit ribosomal RNA", at positions 496 to 795 of the family's 1533-position model. The record is from RNAcentral. Lineage: Bacteria; Bacillati; Bacillota; Bacilli; Caryophanales; Bacillaceae.